UUGCCUCCAGAUUUGAUCAAAUGUCAACAUAAGACAUGACUCAAAACACAUUCCAAAUGUCUUUGAUCCUAACUCUCCUGCUCUUUCAAUCCAUGCUUUGUAUAUUCUUCAACAUUUGAAAAGAAAAUAGAAACAAAUAAUUAGCUAGUAGUCAGCAAGUAUCUCUACACCUCUAGUUAAAUCCAACACGUAACUUACAAUGCAACAUAUAGCAUGUCCAAACAUGUACAAUAUUUAGGGAAGAAUUUUGCAAGCAAUUUGUAAAAAAUCAAAAUAAAUUAGCCAUCCAAAUAAUCUUCCUUCUUAAAGUUAAUUUACUAUUUUGCGCCCUCUCUUCUUCUUGAUGAGUACAACCACAAUUUGACUUGUGACAGGGCCCAGAUGAGAACACCUCCUAACAUAAUAUGCCAAAGAUUGGUAUAUGUCAGUAAUAAGCCCUAAAAAUCAUAAUAAAUUAGUCAUCCAAAUAAUUUUCCUUCUUAAAGUUAAUUUACUAUUUUGCCCUCUCUUCGGCUUGAUGAGUACAACCACAAUUUGACUUGUGAU
RNAcentral lists this long non-coding RNA (546 nucleotides) under Elaeis guineensis (African oil palm). RNAcentral describes it as "long non-coding RNA (EGUI_LNC034578)". Lineage: Eukaryota; Viridiplantae; Streptophyta; Magnoliopsida; Arecales; Arecaceae. The record is from RNAcentral.